This 336-nucleotide ribosomal RNA is filed under the name Pezizomycotina sp. 6732-R5. RNAcentral describes it as "eukaryotic LSU rRNA". The stretch from base 1 to 126 matches the Rfam family "5.8S ribosomal RNA", at positions 29 to 154 of the family's 154-position model. Lineage: Eukaryota; Fungi; Ascomycota. The record is from RNAcentral.
UGCAUCGAUGAAGAACGCAGCGAAAUGCGAUAAGUAAUGUGAAUUGCAGAAUUCAGUGAAUCAUCGAAUCUUUGAACGCACAUUGCGCCCCCUGGUAUUCCGGGGGGCAUGCCUGUUCGAGCGUCAUUACAACCCUCAAGCUCUGCUUGGUAUUGGGCCCCGCCGGUUCCGGCGGGCCCUAAAGUCAGUGGCGGUGCCAUCCGGCUCCGAGCGUAGUAAUUCUUCUCGCUCUGGAGACCCGGCUGUGUGCUUGCCAGCAACCCCCAAUUUUUUAAGGUUGACCUCGGAUCAGGUAGGGAUACCCGCUGAACUUAAGCAUAUCAAUAAGCGGAGGAA